AUGACUGGCCACUCACAACCGUCGGAUCGAGAAUCGAAGCACGAGAUCGACCCAGGUGCGCUCCCACGCACCGAAAGCGAAGUCCUGAGACUGCACGCUGAAACAGGCACUACACUCCCACUCUCGUCUCGCACCGCGCCGCCGGCGGAAGAGAUGGCGGAGCUUCGGCACUCGACGGCGGCGGCGGCCGCCCGCGCAUCCAACUCUCCGGCAAAGCGCGACUCCGACGCGUCCUCCGCCUCCUCCCCAUUCGCUUCCACCUCCGCCGCCCGCGGCCGCGACGACGACGGCAAGGACGCCCACCGCUCCUCACCUCUCCUCCCGCACCACCAUCACCACAAGCAGCUCCUUCCGUCCCCCCUCCGCUCCCUCCUCGCCCUCGACGAGCCCAGGCCCCCCACCGCCUCCCUCUCCUACCGGAUCUUGCUCGCCGUCCUCGCGCUCCUCCUGCUCGCGGCCCUCUUCUCCGCGCCCUCCCUCUGGUCCCGCUUCAACGUGCCCUACUUGUGCCAGAAGGAGGGGAUCACGCUGCAUUGCCCUCAGACGAAGGAGCCUCUCUCACUGUGGGAGAACCCGCGUGCUGCCACCGCGUCCUGGAAGCCCUGCGCAGAGCGUCGAAGUGAUGAGCCCUCAGAUGUUCCACCUGAGAAGGAAACCUCUGGGUAUAUUUUUAUUCAUGCCGAGGGUGGACUGAACCAGCAACGAAUAGCUAUAUGUAAUGCUGUUGCAAUUGCUAAGAUAAUGGAAGCAACACUUAUUUUGCCAGUUCUGAAGCAGGACCAAAUAUGGAAAGACCAGACUAAAUUUGAAGAUAUCUUCGAUGUGGAUCAUUUUAUAAACUAUCUGAAGGACGACGUACGCAUUGUCCGAGACAUCCCUGACUGGUUCACAGAAAAAGAUGAACUCUUCACCAGUAUAAAUGUGGUCUAUGACAGGCGUACCGUGAAGAACAUCCCAAAGUAUGCAUCUGCACAGUUUUACAUUGAUAAUGUACUUCCAAGGAUCAAAGAGAAAACAAUAAUGUCUAUUAAGCCAUUUGUCGACAGGUUGGGGUAUGACAAUGUUCCGAUGGAGAUUAACCGACUAAGAUGCAGAGUUAAUUAUCACGCCUUAAAGUUCUUACCCCAUAUUGAAGAAAUGGCCGAUAAGCUGGCAACACAGAUGAGGAACCGAACUAGCAGCGGGAAUCCAUACAUGGCCCUUCAUCUGAGAUAUGAGAAAGGAAUGGUGGGCCUGUCCUUUUGUGAUUUUGCUGGAACACGUGAGGAGAAAGUGAUGAUGGCAGCUUAUAGACAGAAAGAAUGGCCACGGCGCUUUAAGAAUGGAUCUCACCUGUGGCCAUUAGCAUUACAAAAGAGAAAAGAAGGGCGUUGCCCCCUUGAGCCUGGUGAGAUAGCUGUGAUCCUGCGAGCACUGGGAUACACAAGGGAAACACAGAUAUAUGUUGCAUCAGGGCAAGUGUACGGUGGCAAAAACAGGAUGGCUCCCCUCAGAAACAUGUUCCCCAACUUGGUGACCAAGGAGGAGUUGGCGAGCACGGCGGAGAUGGAGCACUUCCGGAAGCACGUGACGAGCCUGGCGGCGCUGGACUUCCUGGUGUGCCUCAAGUCGGACGUGUUCGUGAUGACGCACGGCGGCAACUUCGCCAAGCUCAUCAUGGGGGCGCGGCGCUACAGCGGGCGCCACCGGCUCAAGUCCAUCAAGCCCGACAAGGGGCUCAUGUCCAAGUCCCUCGGCGACCCGUACCUGGCCUGGGCCUCCUUCACCGAGGACGUCGUCAUCUCGCACCAGGCCCGCGGCGGCCUCCCCGAGCCCACCUUCCCCGGCUACGACCUCUGGGAGAACCCCCUCACCCCCUGCAUGUGCAGAGCAUGA
RNAcentral lists this ribosomal RNA (1875 nucleotides) under Triticum aestivum (bread wheat). Its description in RNAcentral is "partial small subunit ribosomal RNA". The record is from RNAcentral. Lineage: Eukaryota; Viridiplantae; Streptophyta; Magnoliopsida; Poales; Poaceae.